UCCUUUGAAAGACUAUGUAAAACAACACCAAAAACUACGAUAGAUAAAUUUUAAAUAAUUCAUCUCCCCGAAAGAAGUUUUUUGAGUUAUUUGAUCACCUCCAAAAUGAAUGCACAAGCCAUCAAGGAAAUGAAGGACACAAAUGCAGAAAGCCCCAAAGAGACAAAGGUGAACACAGUAGACGUCCGGUCAUCGGCGGGGCAGCAAGGCCAUGAACAGAGAAAUGUGCAAGUGGUUCACCAGCCACAUCCCUCUGCGAAAACAAAUACCAGCGGCGGUGUCUUGACCGGUGCUGCCGCUGCUGUGGCAACUACCCUUCAGUCCGCCAAGGAUGCUAUCUCCAAACACGAAUAGCAACAUUACUUUUCGGACCUUGUCAUGAGCAUUGCCUACGAGCAUUUAUUGGAAAAAAAUGUAACUGUAGGCUUUUCUGUGGCUGGAUUAUAUGGUUUUCAUUUUCCCACAUUGCCUUAGUUUUAGGCUGGUAGAAACUUGCUACUCUGCUUGGAAGCUUAUGCAUUGCAUAGAAAACACGUAUUAAUACUUUUAUGUUAUAAAUUUUGGAUCAAAUACAAUCUUCCAAUAACUGUUAUGUAAUUGUUCAAUAUUGAUGCAUUAGCGUUUAUGGUAAUUAUUUAAAACGUGAAAA
Non-coding RNA from Prunus mume (Japanese apricot), 649 nucleotides. The record is from RefSeq and is a predicted model, not a curated record. NCBI's taxonomy places the organism in Eukaryota, Viridiplantae, Streptophyta, Magnoliopsida, Rosales, Rosaceae.